GGACAUUGCCGCGCUCUUCGCCUAGAUCCCUUCACCUCUAUGUUCCCCAUUCACAGCCGCCCAUCCACGAUCCCUCGACCAUUAUCUCACCCGCCCCCUCCUCUCCUCUGCCCCCGAUCGCCGCCGGACCUCGCUGCCCGCCUCUCCCGCAUUCUCCGCCGAACCCCUUCACGUGCCCUCGACUAGAUCUCAGCGCCCCACCAACUAUCCUCCGCCCGCGAGACGCCGAACUCGAGGGACUGAGUUCCCACUCUGCUGCCCAGCCUUGGUUUAAGCUUACGUUGGUAUUGACUGGUUGUUUGUUGUGCUAAUUAAUCUAUUUAUAUUUCCCAUUUAGGUUGUUUUCAUGCUUGAUCUCCAUCUCCUUUAGGUUUGCAGAAUGAAUAACACUCCCCAAUGCUGGUCUAGUUUAUGAUAUCAGCUCAUUAUCUUGAUGAUAAGUGGAGAGCCGCCAAAGUUUGGUUUCGAGUGUAAGAAAAAUAAAAAUAUGGCAGGAAGUCACAAUCUAAUCAACAAACUCCCCCCAUAGUGCCUGAUGCGCAUCUUCAACUUCCUUGAAUCGUCACGGGAUCAUUGUGCCAGUGCUUCAGUAUGUAGGCGUGGGGACCUAUCCUCUUCAUCAUUUGACUUCUCUUUAUCUUGACGAUGUUCCUUUUGUUGGGAUCAUUGACGAUGGCCUAAAGAUUAUUGCACAACUAAGCCCAAUGCUUGCAUCUCUUACACUUCAAAACUGUCAUUCUAUGAAAAAUGUGGGAUCAAUGUUUGUUGCUGAAUUUUGAUAACAGCUUGAAAAGCUAGAGCUGAUAAAUUAGUUUAUUGAUGAUGAAGGGAUCAUGCCAAUAGUUGAGAAUUGCUUACAUUUGUCUGCACUGAGCCUAGAGCACUGUCCUCGAAUUGCUGACGCUUUGCUAGCUGGAGUUGAGCCUCAACUAUCUCUGUAAUUUUUGUAAAUAUUUUUUUCCUUGGCUGUUGCUGAGUACGCGAAUAUGUGGAUGAUAUUCAUUUUUCUAUUGUAAGUACAAUUUAUACUUGUAAUAUUUUACAUGUCUACUUGGUUGUCGAUGAUAGUUUCUUUGGA
Long non-coding RNA from Asparagus officinalis (garden asparagus), 1078 nucleotides. RefSeq lists it as uncharacterized. The transcript is spliced from 2 exons. NCBI's taxonomy places the organism in Eukaryota, Viridiplantae, Streptophyta, Magnoliopsida, Asparagales, Asparagaceae. The record is from RefSeq and is a predicted model, not a curated record.